Long non-coding RNA from Sinocyclocheilus grahami, 110 nucleotides. RefSeq lists it as uncharacterized. The record is from RefSeq and is a predicted model, not a curated record. The transcript has 3 exons. NCBI's taxonomy places the organism in Eukaryota, Metazoa, Chordata, Actinopteri, Cypriniformes, Cyprinidae.
GCUAAUAUUAGACAUCAUUUAGUCGCCCAGAGUGAAGAUUUAGUCGCAUAUGCGAGUGAUUUACUCGAAAUGUAGAGGGUUGAUUCAUAUAUAUAUUAAUAAUUCCUCAG